UGUGGGAGCUGGCUUGCCUGCGAUGCAGACACCUCGGUGUAUUAGGUACACCCAGUUGAUGCUAUCGCAGGCAAGCCAGCUCCCACA
This 87-nucleotide unclassified non-coding RNA is filed under the name Pseudomonas yamanorum. Lineage: Bacteria; Pseudomonadati; Pseudomonadota; Gammaproteobacteria; Pseudomonadales; Pseudomonadaceae. The record is from RNAcentral.